AUCUCUGGAGAAUCUCAUCGUGUAUGAGUGCCGAAGGUGCAAGGCUUUCGCCGAAUCUCUCAGGCAAAAGGACAGAGGAA
This 80-nucleotide non-coding RNA is filed under the name uncultured Faecousia sp. Its description in RNAcentral is "Glycine riboswitch". It matches the Rfam family "Glycine riboswitch aptamer", at positions 9 to 86 of the family's 94-position model. Rfam says of the family: This family represents the bacterial glycine riboswitch. Glycine riboswitches usually consist of two metabolite-binding aptamers domains with similar structures in tandem. Lineage: Bacteria; Bacillati; Bacillota; Clostridia; Eubacteriales; Oscillospiraceae. The record is from RNAcentral.